This is a non-coding RNA of Oryza barthii, 207 nucleotides long. Lineage: Eukaryota; Viridiplantae; Streptophyta; Magnoliopsida; Poales; Poaceae. The record is from Rfam.
AAUAAGUGUAGGUUUGCACUAUUUAUCUUCAAUAUUUGAUUGUUCGUCUUAUUUUAAAAAAAAUUAUGAUUACUAUUUUUAUUGUUAUUAGAUGAUAAAACAUGAAUAGUACUUUAUGUGUGACUAUUUUUAAAAAAUAAUUCAUAAAUUUUUCAAAUAAGACGGACGGUCAAGCAUUGGACACUGGUUUCCACGACUGCACUUAUU